GUUUACAUUGUUACCUUUCCUCAUUUUUGCUUGUCCUGUUUCAAACUUCUUGGGAUUUACGUUCCAAGAGUGAAGAACAAGUCAAUUAAAAAUUACUUUCAGUGGUUCACUAGAAGAUUAUUUUUUUUUAUUUAUACACAUUGUAACAGAGAAAUACACAAAACACACAUUUUUUUUUAUGAUUAUAAACAACAUGUAUUCUGCCUGUUCACAUGAUUAAUUACAAAUUAUUUCCCUUCUCUUCAGUCUGGGUCACUUUGAAGUUCUACCUUUUCAGGAGCGGUUGUUAAACAGUAAAAUCAUUCAGGUGAGAAAUUCAGGUAAAAUGCAAAUCAUGGAACAAAACACUGUACUUAAGACAAACAGCAAAACAGGUAUAAACAAGUACUAUGGCUUUUCAUUAAUAGCUAUAGAGGUCUAAAUGCAACUCCAAUGGUCAAAUGUUCAUUGUAUAUUUUCCUUAGAUUGCAUGAUUUUAAAGGCAGAAAUGUAAGGUUACAGGACUGCCACUUAACACAAGAAGGUAGCCUUUUCCUGUGCAACUGAUGACAUACCUAAAACUACAGGGAGUGUUGAUCAUAAGACUUUCAGGUUUAAUUGCCUGUAACAACAAGCAAUAACCACAGUAGGAAGUCAGCUAAUGAACUUGCCACAAAUGUAACAAUUGCUACCUAGACAAAAUUAUGAGGGUGUUUUAAAUAACAGUAUCCUUCCUUCCUGCAAUACUUACAUUUUCUUCUGCUGCAAAAAGUUACAGAUGUUUUUUUCAUCUCCAGUCUCUAAAAUUUUCACAGAAUUAAAGGUUUGAUCCCACACCCACUGAUGUCAGAGGGAGAGACAAAGCAGGCUACAAAGACAGGAAAAUAUCCAGGUCCUAAAAGGUCUGGUCUGACUAACUUACUGUUUGGCUUCAGCAGUUUUUAAUGACACCAAGAAGAGAAGAACAGAGACUCCCUAAGCUGGAGACUUGGCAGGUAUCGUAAGCAAAGACAAGGAUGGGUUUUGUGUAGUCUUCAUUCUCUGUGUACUUAUCAUCCUAAAGCCUAUUCACACAUUUCAACCUAUCUAUGCUCCUAUUAAAAACCAGAACUUGAAAUUCUUUCUUAAAAAUGAAAAUAAAACCAACCCACCAAACUGUAAAAUCCUAAAUCUCUUCAUCCUGUCUUCUGUUACCUACAAAGUUUGUUUACCUUAAGCAACUCUGUCAUUAGUACAUCAAGUUCAAAGAGGAAAGCAGCCAACAGGUCUAAAUAAAUAAAUAAAUAAAUAACCCAUAAUAUUCACAUUGCAUCAGAAAGAACACAUACCCUUUCCACAGCAAGAUCAUUGUUGAUCACACUUUUACAAUCACCAACCGCCAUACACUUCAUACCACUCUGUAAAACCAAACUUAUGUUUAAAACAUACCUAUCAAAUUCAGGACGUCAGCCUCAUUCAACUGCCCCAAAAGAGACAGCUGAUUAAAAAAGCAUCUGGCAUGUCAAUCUAAGGAACCCACAAGUCCAUAUGCAGCACAAGUUCAUACACUGGUGGUGCAUAUGUUAAGAAACAGAACUAAGGGAUGCACUGAACACUCUGGCCAGUACCACAGCACUUUCUUGAUGAGGCUCACAAGUCUCUUCCUCUGCAGGGAGUCCCAGACUUGGUUCUGUCCAUCCAUGGCUAUUCAUCCCUUCUACCAGCAAUCACUUCAGACAAAACUAGAGCCACUGAAGAAGAGGAAAGCCUGUAGAUUCUAAUACAAGCGGUGACCCGUACUGAAAAAUCAACAAAAUAACCCCAAAACCUAAGGAACUACUGUGAUGUUUGUGCUUAUGCUUUUUCUUGCAAUAUUCUAAAAGGACUGGAUCUCACACCAGUCAAUAGCUACAUACAGCUUUUUAUGUCACACUCCUAUGAACCAUGUUGCAUUUUUUCCCCCAUGAUGCAAGCCACCAGAAAUAGACAUGGGAAUCCAAAAAUAUUAAGACUGGUUUUCUUGUCUUAAAAAGGGAGGAAGGACAACAGAAA
Molecule: long non-coding RNA, 2010 nt
Organism: Neopsephotus bourkii (Bourke's parrot)
Lineage: Eukaryota; Metazoa; Chordata; Aves; Psittaciformes; Psittacidae
Exons: 2
Source: RefSeq, a predicted model, not a curated record